UACGUAGGGGGCGAGCGUUGUCCGGAAUCAUUGGGCGUAAAGCGCGUGUAGGCGGCUCGAUAAGUCCGGUGUGAAACCUUGGGGCUCAACCCCAAGCCUGCACUGGAUACUGCCGAGCUAGAGUCCGGGAGGGGAGAGCGGAAUUCCUAGUGUAGCGGUGAAAUGCGCAGAUAUUAGGAAGAACCCCGGUGGCGAAGGCGGCUCUCUGGAACGGUACUGACGCUGAGACGCGAAAGCGUGGGGAGCGAACAGG
Molecule: ribosomal RNA, 253 nt
Filed under: uncultured bacterium
Lineage: Bacteria
Description: partial 16S ribosomal RNA
Rfam family: Bacterial small subunit ribosomal RNA
Source: RNAcentral